Molecule: ribosomal RNA, 117 nt
Filed under: Gossypium hirsutum (cotton)
Lineage: Eukaryota; Viridiplantae; Streptophyta; Magnoliopsida; Malvales; Malvaceae
Source: RNAcentral
GAGUGUGAUCAUACCAGCACUAAUGCACCGGAUCCCAUUAGAUCUCCGCAGUUAAGCGUGCUUGGGGGGGUAGUACUAGGAUGGGUGACCUCCUGGGAAGUCCUCGUGUUGCACCCC